GAUGAACGCUGGCGGCGUGCCUAAUACAUGCAAGUCGAGCGAACGGACGAGAAGCUUGCUUCUCUGAUGUUAGCGGCGGGCGGGUGAGUAACACGUGGAUAAUCUACCUAUAAGACUGGGAUAACUUGGGGAAACCGGAGCUUAUACUGGAUAAUAUUUUGAACCACAUUGGUCAAAAGUGAAAGACGGUCUUGCUGUCACUUAUAGAUGGAUCCGCGCUUCAUUAUCUAGUUGGUAAGGUAACGGCUUAUCAAGGCGACGAAGCAUGGCAGAACUGAGAGGGUGAGUGGCCACCCUGGGACUGAGACCCGCUACAGACGCCUACGGGAGGCAGCCGUAGGGAAACUUCCGCAAUGGGCGAAAGACUGACGGAGCAACGCCGAGUGAGUGAUGAAGGACUUCGGAUCGUAAAACUCUGUUAUCAGGGAAGAACAUACGUGUAAGUAACUGUGAACAUCUUGAAGGUAACUAAUCAGAAAGCCACGGCUAACUACGGG
RNAcentral lists this ribosomal RNA (497 nucleotides) under uncultured bacterium. Its description in RNAcentral is "partial 16S ribosomal RNA". It matches the Rfam family "Bacterial small subunit ribosomal RNA", at positions 28 to 507 of the family's 1533-position model. The record is from RNAcentral.